Non-coding RNA from Oryctolagus cuniculus (rabbit), 3333 nucleotides. Lineage: Eukaryota; Metazoa; Chordata; Mammalia; Lagomorpha; Leporidae. The record is from RefSeq and is a predicted model, not a curated record.
CCGGGCACGUGAUCUCCGCGCACCCGGAAGCGGACCGUCCGUCCGGCUGUCCCAUCUGGACCCUUGCGCGUGCGGCUUUAUCAGCCGUGGUAGUGUGUGCGCGCUUGGCCGGCCCGUGACGGUAGCACAGCACACGCGCCACAGGGGAGAGCGCGGGAAGUCGGAUGCAGGACGCCCAGGCCUGUCUUCCGGGCAGCAGGUGGCCUGAGGAUGCCUGGACACUUGACCCGGAACCAUUUCUGAAGUGGACAGAGUGGGGCGGCGCCCGGGGCUGAAGCUGGACUCUGCCUGCAUUGGCGGGAGCCGUGGCCAACGUCCAGGACCAGGUGUGAGCUCCGGCCCUUGGCCGACGUGGACAGCAGGUUCGGGUGCUGUGCCCUGCUGGCCUGGGUGUGUGUGUGUGUGUGUGUGUGUGUGUAUGUGUGCGCAGAGGGGGACGGAAGGGCGGGCCGGGCUGCGUGCAGCAGGGACCCUGGGCUCUGGGGGCCCGCGUACCCCGGAAACACCUGCUCUCUGGGGGUAGCCCCGGCCGGGCUCGGGCACCCGGCCCACGCCCAUCUCCUUCCCGCCCGGGGCCCAGGCUCUCUUUCAGGCUCCGGGAGAUGGCCACGUGGGUGCUGUUAUGGUUCCCCGACACCAGGGUGUUGCUGCUCUGGGUGGAGGCGUUUCGCUGUCUUCCUCCCCACCCUGCUCGUCCUUAUCACCGUCCCUGCCCUGGUGCUGGGUGCGCCUGGCGUCUUGGUGGGCUUGCUGGUGCCGAAUGAGGUUUUGAUUCAAGGUGAAGGUUCGCUCCCAGGUCUGACACUUGGACGAUGCACGUGGGCAUCUUCCUAGGUGUGUUAUUUAUAUUCCAGUAAAGAAUUUUGGGAGACUCUGGAACCUUCCCUGAAUGGGUUGUAUUUAACAGUGGCACUUCAGCCAACGCUAAGGAGGAGCUGGUUUUAGGCGGCGGCUGCCCCACAGCCCCGCGUACCCCACCAUCCACAAGUACACAGGAUGCCUGUUGGAUGCCUGCAUGGGGUCAUUCCCAGAUGUUCCAGGGUCUGAAAACUCCCCAGGAAGGCCCUGCUCAUUCAUCUUCGUGGUAAAGUGAUAUCCCGCCUACAAAGUGUGCUGAGGGGAGCGUGGCCAGCUGCCAUCUCUUUAAUAUUUAGAAAGCUGCCUUCAUACCUCCUUGCUCUUCCUGCAUGUUUCUCUCUGCAUUUGUGGUCUCCAGUUUUCUGGGAAUUCAGUGGGAUGGUUUCUUAUCUGUUAGCUUGUCAGAAACAGGCGUGAGGACAAUCAAAUGUUCAUCUAUUCACAUCUGGUGUUCUGCAGGGAACAGCGUUUAGACCCCUACCGUGUUUAACUGUAUAAAUGGUUUCUAUCUAUCAUCUAAAUCAGAACUGCUUAUGUGCAGAGCACACUGCAUUGGAUCCACACAGGAUCCGUGCUGGGGAGGGCGCCUGCUCUCUGGACCUCUGUGAACGCUGGGAACUUAGAAACCGUAGGCCCUUAUCUUUUCAUGAGGAUUUCUAGUUGAAGUGUAGCUUGCAAUCAAUGCACCGUGGGGUGUGUGUGUGCGCGCGUGCGUCCAUGCACAUGUGCACACACACAUAUGUGUAUCUUUAGGUGUGUGCAUAUCUGCGUCUUCGUUUCUUACUGUGCCUUUAUGCAUUGUGUACAUUUGUGUCAUAAGCAGUUCCCGCGUGUCUUUACGUGUUUCUCUGUGGACUUGCUAUCGCAUGGCCUGUUGCUGUCUGUCUGUCUCUCUGUUUAACUGUGAUGUCUCUCUGUACGUCUUUGUGGUCCUCUAUGCCAGCAGAGGUUUGUGUAAUUGUGUUCGUGUGCCUCUGGUCAUCUUGUUUAUGGGUCUUCCUCUGCGUGUGGUUUUAGUGUGUGUGUGUGUGUAUGUGUGUGUCUUAUAAAUGCUCCCCCUGUCCACAUCACCUCCUUUUCUUCUGUGGCUGGAGGCAGACCAUCCAUCUUCAAGUCUGAGGAAAAUUGCUGGCCUGGACCAUGGCGGCAGGAGCCGGCUAUCUCUGUGAUGAGUCUGAGGCGUGGCUUGCAGGGCCUCUCGGGUCUGCCCUCACCCUCAGCUGUGCAGCUGUCUGCUGCAAAGCCUGCAGUGGAGAGGCAUUGCCAGUGUUGGAAUCAAGGGCUCCUUCUUUUCUGCUGCUCACAGGGUCUGCACACAACCCCUCCGUGGCCUCGCUCACUGCUCCCCACGAAGGAAGAUGCUUGGAGAUGGUGGGCGGGCCUAAGCAGUCCGUUCUCCUGCCAGCUCCCAGUAGCUCUUGUCUCGAAAUGUCCUUGUUUGCAGGAUAAGCAGCACUGUUGGCUCUGUUGACCAAGGGCUGUGAUUUAGGUGUAGUUUGUUCCCCAAGGGUGCUUAUGUAGGAAGGCUGGUCCCCAGGGUGGUGAUGGUAAGAGGUGAUGGAACGUUUCAAAGGUGAGGCCUGGUGGGAGGUCCUUAGGUAACGGGAGAUCCUGCCUAUAGAAGGAGGUAGGAUAGCUCUCACGUGACUUCUGAGUUCUUACAAGAGUGAGUUGUUAUAAAAGCCUUAGCCUGAUCCCUGAUUUACUCUCUGGCUUCCUGUCUUAAGGAAUGGUCUCUUCCUCCCACGCGUGCUCCAUCCUCCAUGACACCUUCACCAGAGCCGAGUUGGUGCUGGUGCCGUGCCCUUGAACUAUGAGCUAAGUAAACCGUUUUCCUUUGUGAAGUUAGCCUGUCUCAGGCAUUUGAUUAUAGUCAUGACAAAUGUACUGAUAACAAAGUUCCUCUCUUUGCCUUAACAAAUGUUCUUCUCUUUGUCCUCUGCUAUUCCCUGAUUUUCCCCUCUGAGUUCUAGGAAGGGCUCAAUCUUUCAGCCUUACCAUGUCACCAGGAAUCAAGAGGAUGGUGACAACUUUGGCCCAUACUGUCACCUGUCACCACUGUCAUCCAUCCACCACUUGGAUUUACAUGGUUUACUUUAUGGAGCUCAAAGGCCUGGGGCUUUGCACGUAUGACCUCCUUCAACGCGGAAGUUGGAAUGAUGACACAGGCAUCCUCCCAUGUGAUGUGUGACUGGCUCCAGCCAACUCCUAUCUUCUGAACACAUUAAACAUAUCCCAAAGCCAGCCAUGUCUCUCCACUGCUGCUGUCCUGCUGCAGGCCCUGGCGCCUGUCUGGACAUGCCACAGCCGCCUAACUCAUCUUGCUGCACUGCAGUUACCUGUGUUGUCCAUUCUGCUUGCAGCAGCUGCAGUGACUGUGGUCAGUCUCUCUGAUCAUGUGUCUCGUCUCCAGACCUGCGAUAGGUUCCCAUCUACCUCAGAAUAAAAGCCAGACUCCUUCCUGUGAGACCCAAA